UGAGAGGGGAGAUGGGAUAAUCCCCUCUCACUCUCCUUCGUCUUCAUUCCAGUGUACAAUGGCGGAAAGUGACCUCCCUGAAGAUGUUAUAGUGAAUAUUCUGUGUUGGCUGCCCGUGAAAUCCUUGAUCCGAUUCACCUCCGUCUCGAAACGAUGGCGUUUCAUCAUAUUAUCCGAUCCCAAAUUCGCCGCCUCUCAACUCAACAGAGCUCGUCAGCUGAAAGCCCUCGGUCCCCGACUCCUCUUCUGCACCGGCACCCCUCAGCUCGAAUCCCUGGACUUGGCUGAUAUGGCGUCGUUUGGACACCCUUCCUCCGUCAGACACCUGAGCCUCCCUCCCGAGCGACCGGGCGGUGCCGUCACCCUAGUGGGCUCCUGCAACGGUUUGGUGUUUCUAGCCUUUGAUACUUGCUACUUUUACACGUGGAACCCAGCAACCCGGUUGUUCGUGGAGUUGCCCGACCCAGGUUUUCCCGACGUCUGUCAAUGGGUUACUUAUCGCGGUGCUGGCUACUUGUCUGCCACCGACGACUACAGAGUUUUCGCAACCUGCUAUGGGGUGUAUUUUAAUGAAGAUGACGAGAGUUAUAUAGAGACGAAGAUGUUCUCCUCCAGAGCUCAAGUUUGGAAAACAAUCCGAGGCUCAGGUCACAAGUCCUCUCCUGAUCAGGGGAUUCUUUUGAAUGAGGCACUCCAUUGGGUCAAUUUUGAUGAAAUCCUUGCCUUUGAUUUUGCACCGGAGAAGUUCAGGACAAUGCGUCUGCCUGAUAUAGACGACCAGUAUGGUGUUGAUUUUCGCUAUGUUGGGGUUUCUGAGGGAUGCCUGUGUGUUUGUGGUUAUCUGAGCGGCCGUGAUGACUCUGUCGAUUUUUGGGUCAUGAGAGAAUAUGGUGUGGAAAACUCGUGGACUAAGCUCUUUAACUUUUCCCAUGGCGAUCCUGGCCGGUACAUAGAGUGGUGGGUUAUGGAAAGUUGUACAGUUGCCGUAAAAUGUGCUAUUGGUCUCCACCACUGGUUGUUGGUGAAGAUUGAUCAUCAACAAGAAGCGGAAAUUGACGACUAUAUGGUCUCAGGCAUCAAUAACUGCUACCCAAGCAUGAUUCCAUAUGAAGACACUCUGCUUCGGAUUAAUGAUUAGUCCUGACUCCUGAGUACUGGUUAGCCACAUCCUCAAUUUCGCUAUGCUUAAAUAUGUUUAUCUACUUGUUAGUUAUGGAAUCCUGUUAUUGAUUGAAGAUGAAACUUUCUGAUUCCUUUGAAACUUAAAAACCCAGUUGCGUUCUUUGUACCUUUUUCUUAUGACUUGCAUGCUUUGGAAGUUCCUUAUUUAGUCAUUAUGUCACGUUCUGCAUCGAAGUAGAGUCAAUCACUGUGUGCAAUUUAAAGUUUAAACUCACCUUAAAGUAUUGUUGUACUGGUUGGAUAACAAUGCUGUUUGCUAUAGGUGAGUUAUUGAUGUUCUGCGGGAAGGGAAGAUUACAGGGACAACCAAUAUCUUGCAAAAUUUUAUAUGUGUCAACUUAGUGUGAACCCCAUUUUGUGCGUGUUGUGUCUACUCCAUCACAGUGUGUACGGGUUUUCAUAUGUAUAUUGUAAUCUGGUAGGUGGACUGAGGUGAGGAGGAUUGGUGAUAAACAACAAAAUUGGUGUGAAUAUUGUUUAGAGCAAUUGGUUUGACAUGAUUGAAUUGAAAGAGAGUCUAGUUUGGCUUCAUGAUUAUCAGAAUCGGUGGAAAAAUAAUUGAAGUUCAAAACCCAACACCAGGAAGAAAAAUAAUUGCUCUGUGGAGCAUUUAAGUCCUAUUUUAACUUUUCUUUUUCAAUCUGCUCUCGUGCCUUUUGAAGACUAUUUAUUUGUUUAAUUUUUCUCGUUCAGUCUAUACCUCUUUAUGAAGAUUUGUGUGUUCAUUGUAUUCCUGCAUCAAGACAUUGUUUCAGUAAAUACAACUCCAUUCAUGCAUAGACCAAAGAAUAGCUAUAGACUGAAAAUAAUCACAUGAGUAAAUAUGAUUAACAUACUGCAAAAUAAGCUUCUAGUCUUAUUUUCAUUUUAUUAUUCGAUUUCUUCUUUAUUUUCUUGAUUUGAUUCCUCUUCUGCCUAUGGUCUUCAUUCAACAUCAGUUGAACUUGAUAUGUAAGGUAACAUUCUCUUUUCAGAAUACUCAACCUUCCAUGUAGUUAAAUAGUGUUACUAAUUAUUUGUUCUUUUGUAUUCUCAUUUCUCAGUUCUGCUGCUCCUAGUCUUCCUCGAUGAUCAUUGACGAAUCAGUUUCAUGGAUAUUCGUAAAGAUGCAUGAUUUGGACCUGUUAGUUAUGGGAUUUUGUAGGAGUUAUGGCUUCAUGAGAUAUUUGUGGUCUGUACUUGAUGAAGUGACAUGGAUGCAAUCUAAGUGCUUAUGAGGUUUCUUUAGACUUUGGCUUUAGGAGCUAGCUAGGAGCUAUUGCCGGCUAUAUAUCUGUGCUUAAUGGCUGUUAGUUUAGAACGUACCUUCAUGUUUUUGUUUUCAGUUUAUCAGUCCUACCAGGAACAAAUAUGGGUCAGGCUAAGGAUAGAAAUAAGCCUAGCUAAAGGAGUACAACACUACUGUAGAAAUUAAGCCUAGCUAAGAUAAUCCUGUGUACCAAACAUCCCAUAGGAGAAUCAAACUUACUGUACAUCAAAAUGUGGAAUCAUUCUUCUAUUUUUAUCUCUUUAAGGGAGAUGGUAUUGAUUCUCAUUUGUUGGUGAAUCAACAAUUUUAUGAAAACUUAAAACUACUAAAUACGAGUUGUUAUUUUAUCGAACAGUUAUAUCCUUGAAAAAUAAAAAGCCCUAGGAGACAUGUUCUCCUCUCUGCCUCUGGCAAGAGAGUUUUCUCGGUGCCGCUCAGUCUCGAUUGGCGGUGACUUUGCACCUUCGAUUGCAUAGGGAGCCUUUCCUCCUCUCUCUCUCGUUCAACUUGUGGUGGUGCCGGCGGGUUAGCUCGACAACAUCUCCUAAACCAAGGUUCUGGCCUUAUUCCUCUUACUAUGAGUGUUACUGGUGAGUUAACAAACCCAGAUUUGUUGUUGGGUUGCCAUGGCUUUGGAUCGAUGGCAAGGGUCUUUGCGCACGGCGGUGGAAAAGCUGAUGUCGACGACCAUGGAUUAGAUCUUCUCCUUCUCUGUUAUGUUGGAGGGAGGGGUGGUGGUGCAGUGGCAGCUGUGGACGUGGUUGGUAUGGAUGCCGGCUUAUGGUCUUCGUUUCAAGGGGAGAGUACACCGGCGGCACGGCUUGGUUGCGGUGGCAGCGGCGAAGAUGAGGAGAAGGCGGCUACUUGGGUCUCUUUCUUGGCUCCUCUAGUGUUUGGGCUGGUUUGGGCCUAGGUUGGAUCAGCUAGAGUUUCUCUCUGUUGAGCGUUGGCUUUUGAGGUUAGUUAUGGGCUUUGUUUGACUGAAGCGUUUGCAGUGGAGAAGGCUAGGGAGGUAGUAGAAGGGUGGAGUUCCACUUCUGUUAUAGUACCCGCUUGAUUUUGAUCGGGAGAUCAACAUGAAGAUAAGAAUUAUGAUGUUUUAGUUUAGUAUGUUUCAGAGUUUUUAAUCUUCUUGUUUUUUGUUUUAUCUUCAUGGAAGAUGAAUGUACUUGGAGUGAGUGUUUUGGUACGUUUGUGUGAGGAGCGUGCUAGGAUAGUUGGUCUGCAUGAUGGUUUUUUCUGACUGUCUUCUGGGCAUGUCAUUAUUGUACUGUUCGUUUAGUUUCGUGUACUUUUUUUUUUUUUUUACUUAUUAAAUACGAAAAUCCUGUUAUAUGACAUAUAUGACAUGUACGGGUGUGUUGUCACUUUCAUGAGUCUCAUCCUUGUCACUUUCUCACUUCCUUUCUCUCACUCUCUUUCGCUCACUGCCUCAGUAGCUUCAGGUCUCUCUUGGUUUGUCCGUCUUCUUUUUUCUUUCACCGAGCAAUGGCGGAAACUGACCUACUACCUGAAGAAGUCAUGCUGAGCAUUCUGUGUUUGCUGCCCGUGAAAUUCUUGAUCCGAUUCACCUCCGUCUCGAAACGAUGGCGUUUCAUCAUCUUGUCCGACCCCCAACUCGCCACAUCUCAACUCAACAGAGCUCGUCAGCUGAAAGCCCUCGGUCCCCGACUCAUCUUCCUAACCAACGCUCCUCAGCUGGAAUCCCUAGACUUGGCUGAUACGGCGUCGUUUGGACACCCUUCCUCCGUCAGAAAACUGAGCCUCCCUUUCGAGCGACAUGCACGCCGUGACGUCACCAUACUGGGCUCCUGCAAUGGGUUGGUGUGUGUAGCUUUUGACGCUUCCUACUUUUACAUCUGGAACCCAGCAACCCGAUUCUUCAUGGAGUUGCCUGAGCCGGGCUUUCCCGACGUCUGUCAACAACUCACGUUUCAUGGUGUUGGGUACUUGUCUGCCACCGACGACUACAGAGUUUUCGCAACCUCAUAUGGGGCGUAUCCAGAUGAAUAUGGAUACUCAUAUGAAGAGGCAGAAGAGAUGAAGAUGUUCUCCUCCAGAUCUCGAGUUUGGAAAGCAAUCCGACACCCUGCUGGUCAUGACACACGCUCUUCUAAUCAGGGCACUCUUUUGAAUGAGAGACUUCAUUGGUUCUCUUGGUGGCGGAUGAUGGAUCCUUUAAUCCUUGCUUUCGAUCUCGCAACAGAGGAGUUCACCACAAUGCGUCUGCCUGAGCAAUUUAAGCCUGAGGAACUACCAAAUGGCAUAAUCUUUAUUGUAGACUUCUGCUGUCUUGGGAUUACCGACGGAUGCUUGUGUGCAUGUGAUUAUCUUCGUGCUGACUCUGUCGAUUUCUGGGUCAUGAGAGAAUAUGGUGUGGAUGACUCGUGGACUAAGCUGUUUAACUUUUCCUCUGACGGUCCUGGCCGGUGUGGAGAUUGGUUGAUUAUGGAGAGCUGUACAGUUGCCGUGAAAAGUCCAUACUGGUCAUUGGUAAAGAUCGAUCAUAAACAAGAAGAAGAAGUUGGAAUGUACAUGCUUCAAGGCAACAAAUGCUGCCUUAGCAUGACUCCUUAUCAAGAGACUCUACUUCGGAUUAAUGAUUAGUCUGCAGUGCUGGUUAGUUACUCCUCACUUUCACUAGGCUUAGAUAUUAUUUGAUUAUCUUCUUGUAAGAUAUUGAAUCCUGUUAUUGAUUUAUUCUUCUGGUCACUGUAUGCUUGGGAAGUUCCUUGUAAGUCAUUAUGUCAAGUUCUGCAUUCAAGUAGAGUCAAUCUCUAUGUGCACUUUAACGUUUGAACUCACCUUAAAAGAAUUGUUGUUAGUUGGAUAACAAUGCUGUUUGCUGGGUGAGUUAUUGAUGUUCUGAGGGGACGAAAGAUUACAGGGAGAGCCUAUAUGUUUCAACUUUUUACUUGACUCUCUGGUCAUAUAUCAUCUUGCUCUCCUUUAAUAAAUGUCAUGAUGUACAAAGAGAAUGAACCAAACUGUUCUGGUUUUGAUUGUUAUAGGAGCUUUGUGAUUAGGAACCGAUUUUCCUUAGUGUGAACUGUGUUGUGUACUCCAUCAUAGUUUGUAGGGGUUUUCAUGUGUAUUGUGACUUGGUAAGUGUACUGAGGUGAGGAGGAUCGGUGAUAAACAACAAACCUGAUAUAAAUAAUGUUGAGAGCAAUUGGUUUGACAUGAUUGAAUAAAUAGAGUCUAGCUAGUUUGGUUUCAUGAUUCAAAGAUCGAACCCCUAUCCAAGGCAGAAAACAUAAUUGUUCUGUUGAGCCCUUGAUUAAUAUUUUUAACUCAUCAUGUUCACUCUGUGCUCUCCUUCCCUUUGAUUUUUUUUUUCCUAAAUAUUUGUUCUUUUGUAUUCUAUCUCAGUUGCUGUUUCUAUGCUUCCUCGAUGAUAAAUGACUGAUUUUUUUUUCAUGGAUAUUUCAACAGAUGAUUGAACUUGUUAUUUAUGGGAUUUUGCAGGGUUUCUGGAUGUGCGAAAUAGGAAUGGCUUCAUGAUCUAGUUUUGGUGUGGACCUGAUGAAAUGGAUCCACUGUUAGUGAUUAUCAGAUCUCUCAGAACUUUUGUUUUAUGAGCUAGGGGUUGUGGCUAGCUAUAUAUCUAUGGUUGUCACUCUAACUAUUGUUCAUCUUUUGUUUUAAGAAUGCAUGCUAUGCAUAUCUGUGUACAGCAGAAUGUUCCAUAAGAAUGUUACAUUUAUCUUGUUUGUUGGUUGAUUGCUUUUACUGUGUGAAGUAGAAUGUGGAUUGUUAUAUAUUUCAAGUCGUUGUGGUUGUUUUUAAUCUGAAACUCUCUUUUAACUAGGAUAUAGAUAUAUUACUGAUCAGUGUGUUUGAUCCAUCUUAAUUUGUCAAUGUAUUGUGUUUAACAAUAUUAACAUGAUUCAGUAUUUUGACAUGGAUAGGGUACUCAAAGCAUAAGAACAUGAUGGCAGCAACCAACCUGUGUUGCUCUGUGCAAUCAAGGUCUAAUUGCGUUGUUCCGAUCGGAUUACCGUAGCUGAUAUGAAACUGACAUUCAACCAAAUUUUAGGUUUAGGCUAUGUAGAUAUUACUGAAAAAACGGUUGUUUCUAUUGUUCGCUCAAACUAGAAUGGUAUAGCAUGUAUGUUACAUUUGCCUGGACAUGUAUUACAAUUACAGCAGAACAGAUACAAAUUGAAAUUGCUAUAUUUAUUGAAGACUGAAUCAUAGGCCAAGAUCAUAUAUGCUACAGAAAUGAAACCUGCAAAGUCGUACUAAACAAGCAAACGACGAUUUAACACCACACCACACCUCUAGCAGUGUCCUUCAAAAACUUGAUCUUGAUCUUGUUCAGCAUGGCUGGAGCAUCUUGCAAAUUUGCCCUCUCUUCCAGUGCAGAACAUGCUAGAGCUAAGCUUAUUAUGGAUGACAAACACUCGCUCUUGUUAAAGGUUGAAUCUUUGGGGCAUCGCUGUUGUUCUCUGGGCAUCGAUUUGCAAUCUAUAAGCACCGAUUAGUACUCCUCUCUCUCAUACAGCUUUGUGCGACUUCUCCUUCCCAGCAUCAUCUUCAGCAGUCCGUUUGUGCAUCAUUUUCUCUAGUGGACAUUUCGUCAAAUACCUGGUGUGCAUUCAUUAAUCCAAGUCUCUGUGGAACUCGGUAAUUCUAAAUCGUCUCCACUGCCUUAGUGAACAUGAUUUAUUAUUCAUGGUGUUGUUCAUGUGUUGAUUUAGUCAAAUUGGAAGAAUUGAUGGAAUUGACUUCUGCAAUGAUAAUUGUAACUAUCUGAUUAAUAAUCGAGUGUUCUCUGUUAUGAUGCCUUCGAUGAUAUUUGUGUUCUUGUAUUCCUAUCAUGAUAUCAAUGAGUUUUCCAAUCUGUGAAGUUGAGAUUGUGAAGUGUGUUUAGGUUCUGCUGAGUUUUCUUCCAAAAAAAUGUUUUUGGUUUAAAGGCUCGGUCCCGGCCCAGUCCUAAACGAGAUCGGGUCUUAUCGGGAUCACUUCUGAAAAACACUAAUCCUGUAUCGUCCUGUCCUUAUUCAAAAUUUCAGGAUUAGGAUAGGGAUUACCCUGAUCCCGGCUCGUCCCGGCCAUGUGAUAGAGCCAAUCGGCUCCAGAGAGUUUAAACAGGAGAAAAGGGAGAGAAAAGGAGAGAGUUUAGAGAUGCAUAAUUCAUUCAUAACUGUCUUAAAGGCUGAAAGUACAAUAUAAAGGAAUUGUGGUCUGCUGCCACAGAAUACAACAAAAGAGUCAUAGACUCUAGGAGACAAAAGGUGGUCCUUUGAAGAAGUCUUGACCAUGAUGCUACUGCCAGCAAUGAUGGAAAGAGAUUGAACUUAAUCCACAUGUGCUUCUGGAAACCAUAACUGAUUAGGACAAGGGUUUUGGGAUUGGUCCUAACAAGUCCCACCCCCUAAGAGAGUGCUUGCCCUCAAGCACCAAAACUUGGAAACCUGGAUACCAUGGACCGAGCCACCUCCCAGGUGGCAUCUUCUUCAGGGAGGCCAGUCCAUUUCACAAGCCACAUUGUCACUGAUUUCUUGUUCCUGCGCUGUACCGCCAUGUCUAGCACGCGCUCGGGUGUCCAAAGCAAUUCUCCAUUAUCAUCAAACGGGGGCAGAGUGGUGGAAACCGGGGUACCAUCUUCGAUACGUCGCUUGAGUAAGGACACAUGGAAUGUAGGAUGAAUCUUGGAGCAAGGUGGGAGUGCUAGACGGUAUGCCACCGUCCCUACCUUAGCUAGAACUUGAAAUGGGCCAUAGAAUCGAGGUGCGAGCUUGUGAGAAGGUCGCUUAACCAGUGAUUGUUACCGAUAGGGGUGGAGUUUGAGGAAAACCCAAUCACCUUCUUGGAACUCUCUCUCUGUGUGUUGCUUAUCUGCUUGCUGUUUCAUGCGGUUACGCACUAGCUCCAAGUUUUGUUUGAGUUGAGAGAGAAGCUGAUCGCGGCUGCGAAGAGCAACAUCCACCUUGUGGACGGCAGUGGAGCCUGGUAAGUAGCGAGCAACUGACGGAGGAGGUUUGCCAUACAUGGCCUCAAAUGGUGUCAUCCGAAUAGAGGAGUGGAAAGUGGUAUUAUACCACCAUUCCGCCCAAUGUAAAAGCUCAGACCAAGAAGAGGGUUUAUCAGCAACAUAACAGCGUAAGUAGUGUUCUAAUGACCGAUUCACUACCUCCGUUUGUCCGUCGGAUUGGGGAUGGUAAGCAGAGCUGUGACACAGCUUAGUCCCUUGCAGUUGAUGAAACGCCUUCUAGAAUUGGCUAAUGAAAACCGAAUCUCUGUCGCUAACAAUCCUCUUAGGCAUCCCAUGUAGGCGAAACACCUCCUUGGUGAACACUGAUGCAAUGUGAGCUGCUGUAUAGGGGUGGGAGAUCGGUAUAAAGUGUGCAUACUUGGAGAGUCGGUCGACAACCACCAUGAUGGCGUUGUGAUUCUGAGAUUGUGGCAAACCAUCAAUAAAGUCCAUCGAAAUGUCAGUGAAGAUCUCAUCAGGGACCGGUAAUGGCUGGAGGAGUCCGGGAGGACGAAUGGUCUCAUAGGAUUGUCUUUGGCAUGGAUCGCACGCAGCGAUGUAAUCCUUAAUGUGUCGACGCAUUCCAGGCCAAGCGAAACUACGAGAAAUACGGGUGUAGGUGCGCAAGUAGCCAGAAUGACCUGCCUGAGGAGAAGCAUGAAAUUCAAACAACAAUUUGGCCCUCCACUCCGAUGAAGUGGGCACGAAGAUUCGACCUUUGUAAAGCAGCCGGUUGGUGCCCAUAGAGAACCCGGCUUUAGUGGGUAGUCCAGCGUGCAAUGCUUCUACAAUUGAUUGAGCUUCAGGAUCUCUGAGACAUGCCUCAUCAAUUUGGUGAACAUAAUCCAACACAAGGGCUGAUAUUGUCUGGAUGGAGCAUACCUCAUAUUGGCGCGACAAGGCAUCUGGAACCAAGUUUUGGGCACCCGCGCGAUACUGAAUUUCAUAAUCAUAGCCCAUGAGUUUGGAUAGCCACUUGUGUUGGGAUGGGGUCGAGAUGCGCUGGUUGAGUAGAUGGCGCAAGGUUUGGUGAUCCGUAAUGAUGGUGAAUCGGUGACCCAAGAGGUAGUGGCGCCAUUUACCGACUGCAAACAAGAUCGCCAUCAUCUCCUUAUCAUAAGUUGAAAGAAGCUGAUGGGAGGGUGAGAGUGCUUUGCUGAGGAAGGCGACGGGAUGUUUUUCUUGAGAUAGAACAGCGCCGAUACCGGUAUUGGAAGCGUCCGUCUCCACUACAAAUGGUUUGGAGAAGUCCGGCAGAGCUAGGACGGGAGCGGUGGUCACCGCCUGCUUGAGCAGAUGGAAUGCCUCUUCUGCUUGUGGCGUCCAUGAAAAUUGGUUCUGUUUCAGCAUGUCACUCAAGGGUUUGGCUAUUAUCCCAAAGUUACGGACCAGUCUGCGGUAGUAGCCUGCAAGGCCCAAGAAGCCUCUGAGUGCUUUCACUGUUGCCGGUUUGGGCCAGUCCUGCACACACUUGAGCUUUUCAGGGUCAGCAGACACACCUGCACUUGAAAUCACAUGGCCCAAAUACUGGAUGGUAGGUUGCGCAAAGACACAUUUGGAUUCCUUGAGCUUCAACAUAUUCUCCCGGAGGAUGGUGAAAACCGUCUCGAGAUGUUGAACAUGAGAUGGUAAAUCCUUACUAAAGAUCAAAAUGUCGUCAAAGAAAACAAGGACACAUUUGCGCAAAAGAGCUUUAAAUAAUUCGUUCAUUAAAGCUUGAAAGGUAGAUGGAGCAUUAGAAAGCCCAAAGGGCAUUACCACAAACUCGUAGUGACCAUCAUGUGUCCGAAACGCGGUUUUGUGAAUGUCAUCCGCAUGCAUUCGGAUUUGAUGGUAGCCGGAACGAAGAUCAAGCUUUGUGAAAAUAGUAGCACCAUGAAGCUCAUCCAAUAGCUCAUCAACCACCGGAAUUGGAAAUCGAUCCUUAAUAGUGACGGCAUUUAAGGAUCGAUAGUCGACGCAAAAACGCCAUGCGCCAUCCUUCUUACGUACAAGGAGUACCGGUGAAGAGAAUGGGCUUCGGCUAGGCCGGAUAAGGCCUUGAGUUAGCAUCUCCUGCACUUGGCUUUCUAACUCGGACUUUUGGGAGUGAGCAUAGCGAUACGGACGGACGUUGACUGGAUCCGUUGCCGCUCGGAGAGGGAUGCAGUGAUCAAUCAUGCGGGGAGGUGGUAACCCUAUGGGUGCUGUGAACAAAUCUGCAAAGCUAGUGAGAAGUUGUUGGAUAUUUGGACUAUGGGCCUGCACCUGGUGGACUUUGGGCUUGGGUGGAGAGUAAAGGUUGUCCAAUUGAUUGGAUUCCAAGAUGGCACAAACAGCACGCAUAUCAAAGGUGGAUGGUCCGGUCGUGAUGCCUUGGAGUACAUGCAGUCGCCCUUCAGCUGUGAACGCCAUUACCUUCUCAGCAAAGUGCCAUCCUAUGAAACCAAGGGUCUCCAACCAUUGGGCUCCAAGGAGGAGGUCACAAUCGGCCACCGGUAGCAGCAAGAAGGACUCGGUGAAUUCGUAACCUUGUAUACCAACUGUGACGUGCUCCGCCGUGCCCGAGGCCUGGACUGGUUGGCCGGUGGCUGUCCGGAAUCGAAGAUUGGGUGGAGGAGAGAUGUGGCAUCCUAUCUUGGCUGCAAUUGUGGGAUUAAGGUAAUUGGUUGCUGACCCACAAUCAACAAAGAUGUGGAUAGGAUAGUUGUUCACCGUCUCUUUGAAACGCAUCAUCUCAUUGAUUUUAGUGGUGGUUAUGGCAUGGAGUGGAAGCUGCUCUAGCUCCUCCUCAAGGGUGUCCACUUCCUCUGUCUUUGAUUCCUCUAGGUCUAGGUUGGCACAUGGGGUGAGAGAAUCAAGGAUGGCCAUGACCGGGCGUUUGCACACAUGGCUGUUGGUCCAUUUUUCGUCACAAUGGAAGCAGAGACCUUGGGCUCUACGUUCUCUCUGAGCAUUGGGGGGCCACAUGCGACGUUGGGGUUCAUUUAAUGGUUUGUGAGUGGGAAGUGGUGUAUUGUGGGGUAUGGGUUGAGAAAGGGACGGGGCAGAGGUGGGGAUGUUUUGUUUGGUGGUGGACUGCCAAGGAAAAGGACGAGAAAAACGGGCAGAGCGAUUGUCACUUAGCUUUGUUCAAUAGCGUCGAGCUGUGCGCUGAGCUGCUGCCAAGGAGCGUGGUUCCAGCACGGCCACAUCUUGUCUAAUUUCAGGCUUGAGACUGCCGAUGAACAUGGGGACCAAAUCGGCGUCGGACCAUUCCGGCACUCGGCACGCUAACAACGUGAAUUCCGAGAUGAAUGCGUCCACGGAGGUUUUCUGUUGUAAAUGGGAGAGGGCUGCUUUGUAGUCAUCGUUGGUGCUACCGCCGAAGUGCUCCAAGAAGGCGGCUACUAAUUGCUCCCAUGAAGCAUUAGGAUUUCUCUGCUCAAAGAAAUUCAUCCAAAGGGAUGGGUUGGGCCCAAAGUACGAAGCUUGUGUUGCCACUCGCUCUCCUUCCGGAAUUUGUUGGCUGCGGAUGUACCUUUCUGCCAUGGCAAACCAACCAGUUGCAUCCUCACCCAUGAACCGAGGGAGAUCAAUCUUCGGUGGUCGGUAGAAGGCUUGGUUAGGAGGAGGGAUGUUUGGUUGUUGUUGCAGCUGUUGUUGGUGUUGGUUUUGUUGGGGUCGCUGAAAUUGGUGAAGAGGUGGGAUGGGAACGAGGUUGAGUUGAGGUGUGGGUUGAGCAGUGGAAGUGGUGAGAUGGAGUGGCGGAUAAGAGGUGAUGGUUGAAUCAACAGGAGGGGUUGUGGUGAGUGUAGGUGUAUGUGGAGAACCUUGAGGGAUAGAGAGUUGUGAAGUGAAUGGUGUGGGAGGGAGGGGAAUACCUGCAUCAGGUAGGCUUCCAAAGGUAAUUUCCGGGAAAGACGGUGGAGAAGUUGUGGCUAAGCCGGGUGGGGGUUGGCGAUGGACUAAGCACUGGACCAUCGUGUUUUGCAUCGCAGCAAGGUGAGCUGUAAUUCGGUUUUCAAAGGCAUUUUGGUGGGUGGUGGCUGCGGCUAUGGCCUGUUGCAAUUCCUCCUGCAAAACCUCCAUGCUUUGGUGGACCUCAGCAAGGUGAGAUUGGGUUACUUCUUCGGGGUUGUACGAUGAAGAAGUUAGGUGGCCAGAUAGAGGGGUUUGCGGAAGUGGUGGAACCAUGGCGGAGGUUGUAGGGGUGGUGGAGGGAAUAGAGGUUUGUAUAUUUCUCGUCGGGGCCAUACCGGCUCUGGUACUAGAUGAUAGAGCCAAUCGGCUCCAGAGAGUUUAAACAGGAGAAAAGGGAGAGAAAAGGAGAGAGUUUAGAGAUGCAUAAUUCAUUCAUAACUGCCUUAAAGGCUGAAAGUACAAUAUAAAGGAAUUGUGGUCUGCUGCCACAGACUACAACAAAAGAGUCCUAGACUCUAGGAGACAAAAGGUGGUCCUUUGAAGAAGUCUUGACCAUGAUGCUACUGCCAGCAAUGAUGGAAAGAGAUUGAACUUAAUCCACAUGUGCUUCUAGAAACCAUAACUGAUUAGGACAAGGGUUUUGGGAUUGGUCCUAACACCAUGCCCAGGCCUACAUAAGACUGAGAAAAUAGACAACGAUAGGAAAAUAGAAAGAAACGGCGCCGUUUUAGGGACUCCUCAUCACUCAUCAGUAACAGUAUAACAACGGUGAGAAUGAAUCUUGUCUCACUCUCUGAGUCUCUGGCUCGGUGUGGCUUUUGGUAUCUUUGGGUUCGUUGACUUUGUUCGUCUUCGUUUUCAUUCCGGUGGGCGAUGGCGGAAAGUGACCUACCUGAAGAAGUUAUGAUGAGUAUUCUGUGUUGGCUGCCUGUGAAAUCCUUGAUUCGAUUCACCUCCGUCUCGAAACGAUGGCGUUUCAUCAUCUUGUCCGACCCCCAAUUCGCCGCAUCGCAAUUCGAAGCAGCUCGUCAGCGGAAAACCCUAGUUCCCCGACUUAUCUUCUCCACCAACGCCCCUCAACUCGAAUCUGUAGACGUGGCUGAUACGGCGUCGUUUGGACACCCUUCCACAAUCAGACUCCUGAGCCUCCCUCUCGAGCAACAGAGGGGCCCUCCACGUGACGUCAGGCUACUGGGCUCCUGCAAUGGUUUGGUUUUUGUUGCCUUUGAUGCUGUUUCCUGCUUUUACAUCUGGAACCCAGCAACCGGAUUCUUCAAGGAGUUGCCGGAGCCAGGUUUUACCAACGGUCAAGAGCUCAUGUAUCAUGGUGUUGGCUAUUUGUCUGCCACAGACGACUACAGAGUUUUCGCAGCCACAUAUGGGCUUCGUCAGGAUAGAGAUGAAGAUGAAGACGAAGACGAAGGGAAUUGGGUAGAGACAGAAGAGAUGAAGAUGUUCUCCUCCAGAGCUCACGUUUGGAAAACAGUCCAAGACCAUGAUCAUCUCACAAUCUCUACUUAUCAGGGUACUCUUUUAAAUGAGGCACUUCAUUGGACGAACUAGGGUGUAAUCCUUGCUUUUGAUUUCGCACUUGAAGAGUUCAGGACAAUGCGUCUACCUGAUACUGACGACUCCGACUAUGAAUAUGGUGUAAAUUUUAAGAAUGUUGGGGUUUCUGAGGGAUGCCUGUGUGUGUGCAGUAAGCUGAGUGAGCGCUCUGUCAAUUUCUGGGUCAUGAGAGAAUAUGGUGUGGAUGACUCAUGGUCUAAGCUCUUUAACUUUACCCAUGGCGUUCCUGACCUAUACGGAAAUUUUUUGGUUAUGGGAAGCUGUACAGUUGCCUCCAAUUGGGAUAUGCCUCUCCACCAGGCUUUGGUAAAGAUUGAUCAUAAACAAGAAAAGGAAAUCGGCACGUACAUAAUUCAAAGCAGCUGGCAUAACAGCAGCCUUAACAUGUUCUCAUAUGAAGAGAGCCUACUUCGGAUUAAUGAUUAGUCCUAUGUGCUGGUUAGUAACUCCUCAGUUUCACCAUGCUUAAAAAUAUUAUUUGUUCAUCUACUUGUUAGUUAUUGAAUCCUGUUAUUGAUUGAUGAACUUUCUGGUUCCUUUGAAGUCUGCUCUCAUGCCUUUUGAAGAUCAAUUAUUGAGGGUUUAUUCUUUCAUGCAUUAACAUUCCUCACGAUUAUUAGAGGGGGUGGAAAUGAAUGUUCAAAGAUCAGAACCCAACAAAUGGCAGUAGAAUAAUUGAGCGUCCAAGUGCUGAUUUUAACUUUUCAUUUUCACUCCGCUUUGUUGCUUUUGAAGAUGGAAAGCGCUGGAUUACGCCAGAGUGUAGUACGCCAAGAGUGGGCACGAGACGCGUGGCAGAUUUUGACACGUCCCACCCCGAAUUUCACCCUGAAACCCAGAGUAAGUCGUGCGGGGACCACCUCCAAGGAAAAUUUACUGAAAAGAUUAAGAAAAUCUCCCUUGCAGAUGGACAACCCUAACUCGAAAAUUUCAAAUUACACUCUUAAUUUAUCACUUCUGAACAUCGCAUAAAAUACAAACAUUCUAAAGUAUUCAGAGCUACUAAACACAAGCGGAAGUAAGAAAACACAAGUAGGUUGAACAGGUAACCUACUGAUGAAAACUGGCCGAAAAGCGGGUGACUAUGCCUCGUCUCCUACUAGAUCCAACCCGAACUCUGCAGACUGGGCAAUUUAAAACGAAGGCCCAGGGGAAAACAUUUAAUAACGUUAGAGUGAGUGGACAAAAAUAAAU
Molecule: long non-coding RNA, 15056 nt
Filed under: Fragaria vesca (wild strawberry)
Lineage: Eukaryota; Viridiplantae; Streptophyta; Magnoliopsida; Rosales; Rosaceae
Description: long non-coding RNA (FVES_LNC003502)
Source: RNAcentral